RNAcentral lists this long non-coding RNA (1439 nucleotides) under Fukomys damarensis (Damara mole-rat). RNAcentral describes it as "lncRNA (ENSFDAG00000026277.1)". Lineage: Eukaryota; Metazoa; Chordata; Mammalia; Rodentia; Bathyergidae. The record is from RNAcentral.
GAGGGAAGAAUAAAGGAACAAAUUAAACGUAUGAAAAUGUAAUUCCAGGCUUAUGUGAACUCUACUCUGGGAAGCAGCAGCACAGUGGUGAAACGACCGUGGACUUUGCAGUCUGAGAUUCACAUUCCAACUCCACGCGAGCCUCCUAAUACUGAUGUGGACUGAGUCUGCCAAUCAAACCUUUUGAGUCUCAGUCUCCUCAUCUGGAAAAUGGAGUUCGUAAUAUCCCUUAAGAAAUGGGAAAAUGUGUGCAAGGGUUCAGGUACAGUAGGCACAGGGAAGGCACUCAUUAGAAAAGUAGCCUCAGGCCGGGUGUGAUGGUACACGCCUGUAAUCCCAGCACUCGGGAGGCUGAGACAGAAGGAUCCUGUGAGUUCCAGACCAGCCUGGGCUACAUAGUGGGUUCCAGGUCAGUCUCAACUACAUAGUGAGAACCUGUCUCAACAAACCAAAACCAAACAAACAGACAAAGGUAGCCUCAUUGAUCUUCCUGAGAUCUCCUCCCCUCCCACUGCUCCCAUGAACUUUCUGAGGCCUUGGCCUUCCUCUGCCCUCACCCAUGGUCUCCUGGCAGUCACAGCACUCUUGGGCAGUAGUGGGGUGGGAGGUGUUGCAACACUGCAGGCAACGGCUAUCUUCCAGGUGCAGCAGCAGAGGGGCGGAGCACACGGUGCAGUUCUCGGUGCCAGGACCCUUGCAUUCCAUGCAGCUCUCAUGGCAUUUUUCACAGCUUGGCUAAGGCCCAGAUCCUGUGGUUCAGCAGCAACUCCAGUUACACCCCAUGUACUGCUCUCCUGGAAAUCUGUACACUUGGGACUGGAAAUCAUUCCAAAAGGCAGCCUGCUAAUUUCCACAAUGUUGUCUCUUGCUUUCCAAUUUAAGACCCUACAUCUAUUAUUGCUUCUAAUAGCCUUGGGGUUUAAAAGACAGGCAUUUUCAUAUUUCUGUCACAUUAAGAAUAGUUCACGAGGGGGUGAAGGGAGGGCAGGGACAAGUGGAAAAAAUGAGAACCAAGACCUGUCAUGUGAAGGUACAGGAUCCCAAUGAUGAAUGUAACUGUACUGUAUACCUAAAAUGUACCAAUAAACUCAAUAAAAAAGAAAAAAAAAAAGAAUAGUCCACCACCUGCUCUUCCUCACACCAAUGAACUCAACAAAUGCCGAGCCACCCCUGGGGUGUCUGUGAGUGUUAACUCUGCUCAGACUCUGAGAGGUCACUUGUGGAAGUUAGGUGGCUUUGGGUCUACAACUUGAACUUUAAUUUCAAGUAAUCUUAUGAAGAGGAUAAGCAAAAGUUAAAUGUCUGACUGCAAGGAACGAGCUAGUCAUGGACGCACCAGUUGCAUAAAAGCUACAUAUUAGGCCCCAUGAGUUCUGCUCUUCACUCUCUUGACCAUCAGUGUGUUUCAAUAGAUUUCUUUUUAGCAUCCUAUCAUUAAU